This is a transfer RNA of 72 nucleotides. It matches the Rfam family "tRNA". Rfam says of the family: Transfer RNA (tRNA) molecules are approximately 80 nucleotides in length. The record is from Rfam.
CAGAUUGAACCGAGUGGUUUAGGGGCUGUUUUUGGGAAGCAGAAUAUGUUAGUUCGAUUCUAACCAAUCUGA